This 164-nucleotide ribosomal RNA is filed under the name Nyssa sylvatica. Its description in RNAcentral is "5.8S ribosomal RNA". It matches the Rfam family "5.8S ribosomal RNA". From Rfam's summary of the family: 5.8S ribosomal RNA (5.8S rRNA) is a component of the large subunit of the eukaryotic ribosome. It is transcribed by RNA polymerase I as part of the 45S precursor that also contains 18S and 28S rRNA. Functionally, it is thought that 5.8S rRNA may be involved in ribosome translocation. The record is from RNAcentral. Lineage: Eukaryota; Viridiplantae; Streptophyta; Magnoliopsida; Cornales; Nyssaceae.
AAAACGACUCUUGGCAACGGAUAUCUUGGCUCUUGCAUCGAUGAAGAACGUAGCGAAAUGCGAUACUUGGUGUGAAUUGCAGAAUCCCGUGAACCAUCGAGUCUUUGAACGCAAGUUGCGCCCGAAGCCAUUAGGCCGAGGGCACGUCUGCCUGGGCGUCACGC